Molecule: non-coding RNA, 233 nt
Organism: Microcebus murinus (gray mouse lemur)
Lineage: Eukaryota; Metazoa; Chordata; Mammalia; Primates; Cheirogaleidae
Source: RefSeq, a predicted model, not a curated record
CCUGGACGCCCGCCAUUUUGGAACUGGCGCCAUCUUGGCCUCUGUCCGUGGAUUUUUGUGUGCAGAUUUUCGUGAGACUCCUUACUCAUGGAAUAAGGACCCUUUCCCACAAGAAGUCAUGAUUGUGUAUGUGGAGCAUCCAGCAGAUUCUACAAAAAUGUCUAGAACUUAUAAAUGAGUUUAUCAAGCUUGCAAGAUGAAAAUAGAUACACAAAACAAGUUGUAUUUCUAUA